CUCUGGGAAGUUCUGUAGCUCUGCCCUACUUCAUCUCUAAUACAGGUGUUUGAAUGAUCGGAGUCCUGAAAGAAGCUAGGGGAAGCUUAAGAAAGAUCUUAAAAGGUUACUAAAGAAGAAAGCAUAUCCAAGUGUAACUAACAAUCACUUGGGUUGGAAAUCAGGCCCUGCCUGUGGUAACUCGAAUCAAUUCCUUUAAUCAGCAGGAGGCAGGAACCAAAGACCCACGCUCAAUAUUAUGGGCUUAAAAAAUAAGGUGGAGAAAAUUAUAUGUCUAACAUGUGCAAAGCAAUGCCAGCCCAGUCUCCUGUGUGUAAAUAAACUUUGGGUCUUAUCUGGUAGUCAAACAAUCUAAAUUUUUCCAA
Long non-coding RNA from Herpailurus yagouaroundi (jaguarundi), 365 nucleotides. RefSeq lists it as uncharacterized. The transcript is spliced from 3 exons. The record is from RefSeq and is a predicted model, not a curated record. Lineage: Eukaryota; Metazoa; Chordata; Mammalia; Carnivora; Felidae.